Molecule: ribosomal RNA, 484 nt
Filed under: uncultured bacterium
Lineage: Bacteria
Description: partial 16S ribosomal RNA
Rfam family: Bacterial small subunit ribosomal RNA
Source: RNAcentral
AUUGAACGCUGGCGGCAGGCCUAACACAUGCAAGUCGAGCGGAUGAAGGGAGCUUGCUCCUGGAUUCAGCGGCGGACGGGUGAGUAAUGCCUAGGAAUCUGCCUGGUAGUGGGGGAUAACGUCCGGAAACGGGCGCUAAUACCGCAUACGUCCUGAGGGAGCAAGUGGGGGAUCUUCGGACCUCACGCUAUCAGAUGAGCCUAGGUCGGAUGAGCUAGUUGGUGGGGUAAAGGCCUACCAAGGCGACGAUCCGUAACUGGUCUGAGAGGAUGAUCAGUCACACUGGAACUGAGACACGGUCCAGACUCCUACGGGAGGCAGCAGUGGGGAAUAUUGGACAAUGGGGGAGAGCCUGAUCCAGCCAUGCCGCGUGUGGGAAGAAGGUCUUCUGAUUGUAAAGCACUUUAAGUUGGGAGGAAGUGCAGUAAGUUAAUACCUGGCUGUUUUGACGUUACCGACAGAAUAAGCACCGGCUAACUUCGUG